UUCUUAUCAAGAGAGGUGGAGGGACUGGCCCGAUGAAUCCUCAGCAACCAGCCGAAUUGGCCAGGUGCUAAAUCCAGCAAACUUUCGAGUUUGGAAGAUAAGAA
Molecule: non-coding RNA, 104 nt
Organism: Bacillus smithii
Lineage: Bacteria; Bacillati; Bacillota; Bacilli; Caryophanales; Bacillaceae
Source: Rfam